CUUCUCCUUCUCACUGAAAGGCUUCUGCGAUCUGAGCUUCCUGGUUGCAGUCCUGACAUUCCAGCAGAAAGCUAAGGAAACUCUCCUGAAGUCAAGCAGUUCCUUACAAACCACAUGAGAGCCAAGCCAAGAGCAUUCUCUUUCCAGGGAUCUACAGAAAAGUCUGGUUGAUCUGUAUACCUUUUCUUCACGUGUUACUCUUCUACAGGGAUGGUUGGACUAGAUGAUCUUGGAGAUUUUUUUCAGCCUUGCCCCAUUGGAGGCACAGACCUAAGGCAAAUAGAGGAGAAUAUGAUGCAGCUGCAGAUCCUGGCAAGUGGAACUAUACCCCCAAAAGAUUCAGUUCAGUCAGAAGCGUGCAUUGCGAUGGUAACAGGUGAGGCAGCUUAGUUGUUCAUUGCUAAAGAAACAUUUCUGAAAUCAUUAACUGUCAUCAAGUGGGAGAAAAGGCAUAAUCUUUGACACUGCAUGUUUGCAAAUGGGAUUGGGAAAACAUGGUGGACAUCUUUGAACACUUCAAUCAGAAAUGAACAUAGUUGGGUCAGAUACUCUGUUUUACUGAACUAUGCACUGAAAGCCAGUCAUUUGGGGUCUCCUGGCUACUUGAAGCUGAUGCAGCCAAAACUUGGCACCCAAAACUUGGAACAGCAGAACAGCAUCUUCAGGGAGUAGCCUGGGAACAUUUGAGAGCUGUGUGAGAGCUGUGGAAGCCUUCCUUGCCCAAACCUCUUCCAUAACUCUUUUGAUGAGGUUAGUCAUGAGAGUGUUAAGAUGAUCUGUGGUCAUUUUCUAACUGUUAGUAUACUGAACUCUUCUGGUCAGAAUGAUGAAAGUGAAGAAUUUUCUGAGACUAAUAUAACAUUGUUUCUGGAGAGCAAUACGUUGCUUCUUCACUGCAAUAGAAAUAGAAAAAGACUGUGAUCUUACAAUUACCUUUAAGGAGCUGCAAGCACAAAGCUGCAGCAGGUCAGCGUCAUGCAGGCUGUGUGGUGGCAGGCAAGAAAUUCAGCUGCUGCCUUCUUGCAUCCUCCUUCCUAGUGACUGCCUGGCCCUGACCUGAGACAUUUCACAUGAGCUGUUGUGUUGCGUAUCAGAGCUUAAAGAGAUCUGGACAGAGAUGGCAGCAGGAAGGCACUGUAGGGCUGGGCUGCUCUGGCACUGAAUCUAACCCACUGCUGAACAGCUCCUGGUGCUGAGGUUAGGGUAGGGGCUGGAGGGAAGGAGAUGGAAAGAACAAAAGGAAUUAGGGGAGGUGCAAAACCAUUCUCUCCUCUAAGUAGCUAGGAGCUGACCUGAGGUCUUUUGGGGGUAUUUCUGAGGGCAUUUUCCCAAAUGUUUCCUCCAUUGCAUCUGCUUCUUGGAGGGAAAAAAGCAGAUUCCCCAGUGAAAGUUAGUCUUGCAGCCUCUCAACUGCAGGGGAUAACCACAUUUUCCUUCUCGGGGCUGUGUCUGAACAACUGGAGUUCUAAUGGUGACAUAUGCUCCACAGAACACAUAAAGGUCUAUCAGACUUCAUGUUUUUUGUGCUAAUAACCAGUUGAAUUUGGAAAUAGUCCUGGUUUUGUAUGUUUUCUUUUCUUACUAAUUUGUUUUCCUGGCUUGUCUGAACUUUGUUACAGUCUAUGGAAGUAACUCACUUUCAUAGAUGUUGGCAGCAAAUGGUCUAUUUCUGUAUAAGGCUGAAGUUCACAUGUAGCCCUCCUGUUUAUGUUCCUUUGAACUGUUAAAAAAAAAUCAGCAGGAAAUCUGUAUUGAAGAAUAAAACAACAGCUACAAGGCAAAUUUUCUGGGGGAAAAUAAAAAAACAGUAAAAAAAUACUGGAAUUCAGGUUUGCUCCAAAGAUUUAGUUCAAACUUCCUUUGGCUGUGUGUUAAGCUACAGGUGUCUCCUUCCGCAGUCAUCCUCUACUGACCUGACCCAUGAUCUACAGAAAGACUGAAUGUUCAUGGCUUUAGAGAAGACAGUAAGAAGUGCACUUUAGCCGUGGAAAGUCUGUUAUAAUGCUAAGGCAUCCAAUAGCCCUGUGAGAGAGUUUUCCUCACAAUUAGUUGGAAUUUUCGAAGUUUUUAAGAAAUGUUGGGUGGAAGAGAUUUCUGGAGGUUACUAGUCCAAUAGGUUGCUCAAGCAUGACUAUCACCAGCCUUACAUCUGGUCACUGCUUCUUUGUCUAGCUUCAUGUGGAAAACCUCACAGCUUGGAGAUCCCAUAACUUCUCCCUGAACACACCACCCACAUAGUGAAGAAGUUUUUCAUAGAGUCAUAUAAUGUACAUCAUCUGCUACAGGACACCAAUUUCUUAGCUGUCUCCUCCGGGUGACUCCCCAAUUUCUGCACAGCAAUCUUGCAGGAAGGUGGAGGCCGUCUCUGGGCACACUGUUUGGGUGUUGUCUCACUGUCACCCUUAAUCUACUAUCCAUGCUCCAUAAUACACCUAGUGUGUGCUUUGCCUUUUUUAAAUUUUAUUUUAUUUUUUGCAACGAG
RNAcentral lists this long non-coding RNA (2482 nucleotides) under Gallus gallus (chicken). The record is from RNAcentral. Lineage: Eukaryota; Metazoa; Chordata; Aves; Galliformes; Phasianidae.